This is a small nucleolar RNA of Osmerus eperlanus (European smelt), 216 nucleotides long. RefSeq annotates it as small nucleolar RNA SNORA53. The transcript has a single exon. Lineage: Eukaryota; Metazoa; Chordata; Actinopteri; Osmeriformes; Osmeridae. The record is from RefSeq and is a predicted model, not a curated record.
CAAAGCUUUCUGUAGAUCCAACUCUGGGGGGCGCUCUUGUGCUGCAGCUCAAGCCCAGAUGCCCUCAGUAGCUUGAUGGCUGUACAGUUGGAGGUGCUUGAGUCAUUGGUGUAUGAGAACAGUUUACAUGCUUCACUGACCACACACUACAUUGAACGUUCAUUGGACUCCUUCACCAUACUUCACCCAUUGCAUGCAGGCUGGAUAGUGGACAUG